UUCAGUACGUGUGCUAUUCCGACCUUCCGCCGCCAAUUUUAUUUUUGUAACUAAAGACUGAGAUUAGACGAUAAAACGAUCCCACUGAUGUUAAGUACUAGAAUUUAGUUCUAAUUUAACACAUAAAAUAAUAACCAAGAGAU
Vanessa atalanta (red admiral) is the source of this 143-nucleotide long non-coding RNA. RefSeq lists it as uncharacterized. Lineage: Eukaryota; Metazoa; Arthropoda; Insecta; Lepidoptera; Nymphalidae. The transcript has 4 exons. The record is from RefSeq and is a predicted model, not a curated record.